This 171-nucleotide ribosomal RNA is filed under the name Garra sp. CBM:ZF:12699. Its description in RNAcentral is "partial 12S rRNA". The record is from RNAcentral. Lineage: Eukaryota; Metazoa; Chordata; Actinopteri; Cypriniformes; Cyprinidae.
CACCGCGGUUAAACGAGAGGCCCUAGUUAAUAAUACAACGGCGUAAAGGGUGGUUAAGAAUAAACAACAAAUAAAGCCAAAUGGCCCUUUGGCCGUCAUACGCUUCCAGGUGUCCGAAACCCCAACACGAAAGUAGCUUUAACCCCACCUGACCCCACGAAAGCUGAGAAA